UCUUCGGAUGCUGACGAGUGGCGAACGGGUGAGUAAUACAUCGGAACGUGCCUAGUAGUGGGGGAUAACUACUCGAAAGAGUAGCUAAUACCGCAUGAGAUCUACGGAUGAGAGCAGGGGACCUUCGGGCCUUGUGCUACUAGAGCGGCUGAUGGCAGAUUAGGUAGUUGGUGGGGUAAAAGCUUACCAAGCCUGCGAUCUGUAGCUGGUCUGAGAGGACGACCAGCCACACUGGGACUGAGACACGGCCCAGACUCCUACGGGAGGCAGCAAUGGGGAAUUUUGGACAAUGGGCGAAAGCCUGAUCCAGCAAUGCCGCGUGCAGGAUGAAGGCCCUCGGGUUGUAAACUGCUUUUGUACGGAACGAAAAGCCUGGGGCUAAUAUCCCCGGGUCAUGACGGUACCGUAAGAAUAAGCACCGGCUAACUACGUGCCAGCAGCCGCGGUAAUACGUAGGGUGCAAGCGUUAAUCGGAAUUACUGGGCGUAAAGCGUGCGCAGGCGGUUUUGUAAGACAGUGGUGAAAUCCCCGGGCUCAACCUGGGAACUGCCAUUGUGACUGCAAGGCUAGAGUGCGGCAGAGGGGGAUGGAAUUCCGCGUGUAGCAGUGAAAUGCGUAGAUAUGCGGAGGAACACCGAUGGCGAAGGCAAUCCCCUGGGCCUGCCUGACGCUCAUG
RNAcentral lists this ribosomal RNA (676 nucleotides) under uncultured beta proteobacterium. RNAcentral's name for it is "bacterial SSU rRNA". It matches the Rfam family "Bacterial small subunit ribosomal RNA", at positions 77 to 751 of the family's 1533-position model. The record is from RNAcentral. Lineage: Bacteria; Pseudomonadati; Pseudomonadota; Betaproteobacteria.